This is a non-coding RNA of Camellia sinensis, 643 nucleotides long. NCBI's taxonomy places the organism in Eukaryota, Viridiplantae, Streptophyta, Magnoliopsida, Ericales, Theaceae. The record is from RefSeq and is a predicted model, not a curated record.
CCCAUUUGACUUUGUCGUGUUGACGGGCCUUGACGUGGGAGGCUGGGCGAUCCCUUACGAUGAGGAUAUGGGCGAGUGGGAGGCAGCUUGGAUUCAUCUGUUGGGAGCUCGCCCACCGGUAGACCGAUCUUCGGGCUGAGUCCGAUAUACCUAGUUUUCUGCACAGUUAAGGGGGACUGAGCCCGAGACUCCUGAGGAGAUUGCACAGUACACUUGCGGGUUUUUGAUGUUCCUCUUCGGGACCACUCUGUUCGCCGACAGGGGGAACACCGUUGGGCUAUAUUUGCUGAGUGCCUUGGUAGACCUCACACAGGUUAGUCAGUAUGACUGGGGUGGCGCCAGCUUGGCUACCCUCUAUUGCUAUAUGAGUGCGACCUCCCGCGGACAGGGGAACAUAGUCGGCAGCUAUUAGAGAGCCUGAGAGUUAUGGGUCUUCGCGUGCUUUCCGACGCUAGCCCCAGAGCUCGAGGUGGAGGCCCCUCUCAUGACCCUUUAUUCGCUCGUCUUCGAGGGCCAGUACCGAUCGCGGCCCCGGGAGACUCUCUCUUACCUAUGGCAGUAUUUUGACACUGUGUGGGCGACCGAGAUCUUAUGGCAGCCCUGGGUGCCUUUGGGUGAGGAUCUCCGAUUCCAGUUUGCCGGA